CCUACGGGUGGCAGCAGUGAGGAAUAUUGGUCAAUGGACGCAAGUCUGAACCAGCCAUGCCGCGUGCAGGAAGACGGCUCUAUGAGUUGUAAACUGCUUUUGUACGAGGGUAAACGCAGAUACGCGUAUCUGUCUGAAAGUAUCGUACGAAUCAGGAUCGGCUAACUCCGUGCCAGCAGCCGCGGUAAUACGGAGGAUGCGAGCGUUAUCCGGAUUUAUUGGGUUUAAAGGGUGCGCAGGCGGCCUGUUAAGUCAGCGGGAAAAGCCCGGGGCUCAACCCCGACGAGCCGUGGAAACUGGGGGGCGGGAGUGGGAGAGAGGUAGGUGGAAGUCGGUGUGUAGCGGUGGAAGGCGUAGAUAGCGAGAAGAACCCCGGUUGCGAAGGCGGCGUACCGGCUCGACACUGACGCUGAGGCACGAAAGCGUGGGUAGCGAACAGGAUUAGAUACCCCUGUAGUC
RNAcentral lists this ribosomal RNA (459 nucleotides) under uncultured bacterium. Its description in RNAcentral is "partial 16S ribosomal RNA". It matches the Rfam family "Bacterial small subunit ribosomal RNA", at positions 338 to 795 of the family's 1533-position model. The record is from RNAcentral.